This 72-nucleotide transfer RNA is filed under the name Actinomycetes bacterium. Its description in RNAcentral is "Actinobacteria bacterium tRNA-Arg". It matches the Rfam family "tRNA". From Rfam's summary of the family: Transfer RNA (tRNA) molecules are approximately 80 nucleotides in length. RNAcentral also lists the same sequence under 1 other name. The record is from RNAcentral. Lineage: Bacteria; Bacillati; Actinomycetota; Actinomycetes.
GCGCCUGUAGCUCAGAGGAAGAGCGGCGGCCUUCUAAGCCGCGGGUCGGGGGUUCGAAUCCCUCCAGGCGCA